Molecule: long non-coding RNA, 238 nt
Organism: Cucumis melo (muskmelon)
Lineage: Eukaryota; Viridiplantae; Streptophyta; Magnoliopsida; Cucurbitales; Cucurbitaceae
Exons: 3
Source: RefSeq, a predicted model, not a curated record
GUCUGAUUUCUUCAACCAUUUGAAAGCUACAGCUGAUAGUCUAUCUGCACUGGCUUGGAUUGCAUUCACAGAAAAAGACUGUGGUAUGAGCAUGCCCAUUGCCCAUGUUCAAGAAAGUUGGCAAAUGGCUGAAUUUUACAACAACAAAGUUCUUGUAGAGUACAGAAACAAAGAUCCAAAUCAUGUUGAGUGGGCCAAAGUUAUAAAGGAACUCUAUUUGUCAGGUUUAAGGGACUAU